CGCGCGCGCUUUAAAAAAAUAAACAAAUCUUUUAAUCGGUUUCCGGAGAAACCCGCGAUUAGUCGAUUCUCGUAUUCAGGUGCGCAGACUGGGAGACCCAAACUACUCGGAUCCAGACGGUUUGCAAGAGACCAGCAAAGAUGGUGGAGUAGGAAGAAGCUGCAAAGCCUGGCUCCCCCCACAGUUCCUCCAAUAAAGAACUAAUUGGGUACCGGACUGAGUUGUGAUCAUUGGAUUGAAGGAGAAACCAUGAACUUGACAAACACCAGGAAGCAGCAACACCAUUUGCAAUGAAGAAUUGAAAAGGGGAUCGUACAUGAAAUCAUGAAUCUCCACAAC
RNAcentral lists this long non-coding RNA (339 nucleotides) under Monodelphis domestica (gray short-tailed opossum). RNAcentral's name for it is "lncRNA (ENSMODG00000030703.2)". Lineage: Eukaryota; Metazoa; Chordata; Mammalia; Didelphimorphia; Didelphidae. The record is from RNAcentral.